Molecule: long non-coding RNA, 661 nt
Organism: Varroa destructor (honeybee mite)
Lineage: Eukaryota; Metazoa; Arthropoda; Arachnida; Mesostigmata; Varroidae
Source: RefSeq, a predicted model, not a curated record
AGGAAUAAUGCGUCGAAGUUUCUGCCCCCUCCAGUCUUGGUUAUCCCAGACGUAAUUGGAUCUUUCAUGUAUUGUCUCAGCGAGUAAAUGAAAGUAAUAUUCAUGAGGGAAAAACGAAGCGAUAGGAUCGGAUCGGAUCGGAGGGCAGUUACUAUAAUGAAUCGAGUUAUGAGGAUACGUAGUGGCUCAUAGAGCGAAUGCCUACUUGAAGCGGACAAUGGCAACAACCGCACGGCCAACGGCAGGCGAGACAAAGCGAGAUUAGCUAUAAGCGAAUAAGUCUGAGUAGCCGCCCUGCCUUUUACUCAGGCUUCUGUUAAGAGCUGACCACGACAUCGACUCCAACAUAUUCUCGGACCUGCAGUGGGAAAUUACAUGGGAAAGAAGCAAAGCCACUAGCGAACGUUUGAAAAAGGCGAUAUUGAGAUUGUACGAAGAAGGAAUUCCGCGUAAAACGUAGGGGAAAUAGUCAUUGAAUAUUUAAAGGCAGCAAAAUCGUUGAUGAAAUGGGGAAGACAAUUCCGUGCAAGAUGAAAAGUUUCGUAGAAACUCUAAGGUAACCGGUCCAAGGUCUCAUUCAGUUCGAUGUAGCAUGCAUGCUGUGCAGUGUGCAUUAGAAUGAGAGACCAAAGUAACAUUUUCGAUGAAUGUCGAGAGUCGC